RNAcentral lists this ribosomal RNA (431 nucleotides) under Symplocastrum coccineum M4. Its description in RNAcentral is "bacterial SSU rRNA". It matches the Rfam family "Bacterial small subunit ribosomal RNA", at positions 221 to 666 of the family's 1533-position model. Lineage: Bacteria; Bacillati; Cyanobacteriota; Cyanophyceae; Oscillatoriales; Microcoleaceae. The record is from RNAcentral.
GGAGAUGAGCUCGCGUCUGAUUAGCUAGUUGGUGUGGUAAAAGCAUACCAAGGCAACGAUCAGUAGCUGGUCUGAGAGGAUGAGCAGCCACACUGGGACUGAGACACGGCCCAGACUCCUACGGGAGGCAGCAGUGGGGAAUUUUCCGCAAUGGGCGAAAGCCUGACGGAGCAAGACCGCGUGGGGGAGGAAGGCUCUAGGGUUGUAAACCCCUUUUCUUUGGGAAGAAGAAAGUGACGGUACCAAAGGAAUCAGCCUCGGCUAACUCCGUGCCAGCAGCCGCGGUAAUACGGAGGAGGCAAGCGUUAUCCGGAAUGAUUGGGCGUAAAGCGUCCGCAGGUGGCCAUGUAAGUCUGCUGUCAAAACCCAGGGCUCAACUCUGGUCAGGCAGUGGAAACUACAAAGCUAGAGUCUGGUAGGGGCAAAGGGAA